This 301-nucleotide ribosomal RNA is filed under the name uncultured bacterium. RNAcentral's name for it is "partial 16S ribosomal RNA". It matches the Rfam family "Bacterial small subunit ribosomal RNA", at positions 509 to 807 of the family's 1533-position model. The record is from RNAcentral.
CAGUCGCCGCGGUAAUGCGAAGGGGGCUAGCGUUGCUCGGAAUUACUGGGCGUAAAGGGAGCGUAGGCGGGUCGUUUAGUCAGAGGUGAAAUCCCGGGGCUCAACCUCGGAACUGCCUUUGAUACUGGCGACCUUGAGUAUGGGAGAGGUAAGUGGAACUCCGAGUGUAGAGGUGAAAUUCGUAGAUAUUCGGAAGAACACCAGUGGCGAAGGCGACUUACUGGCCCAUUACUGACGCUGAGGCUCGAAAGCGUGGGGAGCAAACAGGAUUAGAUACCCGUGUAGUCCCUGUCUCUUAUAC